UUCUUGGUUCAUUUAGAGGAAGUAAAAGUCGUAACAAGGUCUCCGUUGGUGAACCAGCGGAGGGAUCAUUACCGAGUUUACAACUCCCAAACCCUUAUGUGAACCGUACCUAUCGUUGCUUCGGCGGGAACGCCCCGGCGCCCUGCGCCCGGAUCCAGGCGCCCGCCGGAGACCCCAAACUCUUGUGUUUUUUUCAGUAUUCUCUGAGUGGCAAACGCAAAAAUAAAUCAAAACUUUUAACAACGGAUCUCUUGGCUCUGGCAUCGAUGAAGAACGCAGCGAAAUGCGAUAAGUAAUGUGAAUUGCAGAAUUCAGUGAAUCAUCGAAUCUUUGAACGCACAUUGCGCCCGUUAGCAUUCUAGCGGGCAUGCCUGUCCGAGCGUCAUUUCAACCCUCAGGGUCCCCGUUCCGGCGGGGAACCUGGUGUUGGGGAUCGGCCCGCCCCGUGCGGCGCCGUCCCCCAAAUUCAGUGGCGGUCUCGCUGCAGCCUCCCCUGCGUAGUAGUUACAACCUCGCAUCGGAGCUCAGCGCGGCCACGCCGUAAAACCCCCGACUUUCUGAACGUUGACCUCGGAUCAGGUAGGAAUACCCGCUGAACUUAAGCAUAUCAAUAAACCGGAGGAAA
Molecule: ribosomal RNA, 625 nt
Filed under: fungal endophyte
Lineage: Eukaryota; Fungi
Description: eukaryotic LSU rRNA
Rfam family: 5.8S ribosomal RNA (bases 232-385)
Source: RNAcentral